AUAAGAGAAGGAGAGGGAGGAAAAAGUGCCAAAGCCAGCACUUUGAGAAAAAAAGAAGAAGACUGCAAGUAAUCACUUAAAAGAAGAAGAAAAAAGCUUCACAGUUGGGCUCAUCCACUCUGCCCUGCUGCUCUUCAGUCAUCUCUAAGCUGGCUCCAGGUGAGAUGUGCCAUGCUAGCAGAUGACGCCCAUCUCUCCAUCUGGGGGCCCUAACUGGAACCCAGAUCUCAUCAGUUCCUGACAGUGUGGACAGUGUUAAGAGAAAAUUGGAGUUGGAGUCUAACAGGUGACAAGUUCUUGGAAUAUAUGAAAAGAUUAUCUGGGAUAACGAAAGAGGAAGCAUAUGGAAGCCAACUAAAAAUGGCAAAUAUGCAGAGAAGAGCCUUGGUAAAAUGCUGUCCUUUUCACCUAGGAUAUGCAUAUCUGUGCUGUGGAUUCCAGCACUCUCUCUCUCCCUCCCACUGAAAUCCUACAGAUCUGGAAAGAGAACAGAGACAUCACUUCCUUCCUGCUCAGCUAAUUAAAAGCUGGCCACGCGGUUGCUGAAGGGUGUUCUAAGCCAGAGAUUUUCACAGCUGGAACUCAGAAGAACAUAGGAUAAGUGAACCGUGGGUGUGGAACCCAUGCAAAUAAAGAAUUAACAAGAAA
Long non-coding RNA from Anolis sagrei ordinatus, 648 nucleotides. RefSeq lists it as uncharacterized. Lineage: Eukaryota; Metazoa; Chordata; Lepidosauria; Squamata; Anolidae. The record is from RefSeq and is a predicted model, not a curated record.